Molecule: small RNA, 170 nt
Filed under: Gordonia polyisoprenivorans
Lineage: Bacteria; Bacillati; Actinomycetota; Actinomycetes; Mycobacteriales; Gordoniaceae
Also listed under: 1 other name
Description: c-di-AMP sequence
Rfam family: c-di-AMP riboswitch aptamer (ydaO/yuaA leader)
About the family: This family represents a conserved RNA structure found upstream of the ydaO and yuaA genes in Bacillus subtilis and related genes in other bacteria. The ydaO/yuaA element is thought to act as a genetic "off" switch for the ydaO and yuaA genes in its native state. It is believed that the element may be triggered during osmotic shock leading to activation of ydaO, a predicted amino acid transporter gene, and members of the yuaA-yubG operon which code for KtrA and KtrB K+ transporters.
Source: RNAcentral
GGGAGAUCACCGCUCAAUCGUCCGACGGACGAACCGGGGAACCACACGUUUUCGGAGCAAUCCGGAUUGGGGUGAGUCGCGCCCUGGACACAGUUGUGUCCGGAUCGCGUAGGGCCAUUCUCUCGGCCCGAACCCGACAGCUAACUCGGUAGGCGGUCAAGGGAGAACCA